This 92-nucleotide non-coding RNA is filed under the name uncultured Enterovibrio sp. RNAcentral's name for it is "Cyclic di-GMP-I riboswitch". It matches the Rfam family "c-di-GMP-I riboswitch aptamer". Rfam says of the family: GEMM was predicted in a large-scale screen for bacterial structured RNA regulatory elements. Genes associated with GEMM are involved in a diverse array of functions, including chemotaxis regulation, signal transduction, secretion and chitin. Lineage: Bacteria; Pseudomonadati; Pseudomonadota; Gammaproteobacteria; Vibrionales; Vibrionaceae. The record is from RNAcentral.
AAGAAAAAGGCAAACCAUGGCGAAAGCCUGGGACGCAAAGCUUCCGGCCUCACACGGUAUAUAUUUUACGUGUUGGUAGCGGAGUUACCGAA